This is a long non-coding RNA of Portunus trituberculatus (swimming crab), 447 nucleotides long. RefSeq lists it as uncharacterized. The transcript has 2 exons. The record is from RefSeq and is a predicted model, not a curated record. NCBI's taxonomy places the organism in Eukaryota, Metazoa, Arthropoda, Malacostraca, Decapoda, Portunidae.
GGAGGAGGAGGAGGAGGAGGAGGAGGAAAAUUACCAGACAAAAGAAAGAGGAGGAGCUGGCAGGGUAUAAAAGGUGGAAGUCCUGAGCCAUGUAGCGUCACUCCUUCCAAAGUCUUCAAGGAACAGUAAGCAAAAUGCUGAGUCUCCGUGGUAUGAUGGUGCUGGUGGUGCUGAUGGCGGUGGUCGUCAGCGUCUGUGUGGCUGAGGCGCAUCAGUAUUACGGAGGCGGCGGAUACCGUGGAAGCUCAGAACGUGGCAGUUAUGAGAGUUACAGUAGUGGUGGUUAUGGUCACGGCAGCAGGCCUUACUAUGGAGGCGGCGGCGGCGGCAGAUACAGACCCAGACCCUACUACCACUGAUUUCCCGCUCUACGAUUCUCGCUCCCCAUGACGGCCAUUAGAAACACUGUGUCUUUGUCCUUUUGAUUAAAAACUUUGGCAUGUUUCA